UUGGAGGGCAAGUCUGGUGCCAGCAGCCGCGGUAAUUCCAGCUCCAAUAGCGUAUAUUAAAGUUGUUGCAGUUAAAAAGCUCGUAGUUGAAUUUCGGGGUUAGUAGGUUGGUCAUGCCUCUGGUAUGUACCGGUCUCACUGAUUCCUCCUUCCUUAUGAACCGUAAUGCCAUUAAUUUGGUGUUGCGGGGAAUUUGGACUGUUACUUUGAAAAAAUUAGAGUGUUUAAAGCAAGCUAACGCUUGAAUACAUUAGCAUGGAAUAAUGAAAUAGGACGUUCG
Molecule: ribosomal RNA, 280 nt
Filed under: uncultured Glomus
Lineage: Eukaryota; Fungi; Glomeromycota; Glomeromycetes; Glomerales; Glomeraceae
Description: partial 18S ribosomal RNA
Rfam family: Eukaryotic small subunit ribosomal RNA
Source: RNAcentral